Molecule: RNA transcript, 477 nt
Organism: Carlito syrichta (Philippine tarsier)
Lineage: Eukaryota; Metazoa; Chordata; Mammalia; Primates; Tarsiidae
Gene name: protein archease-like
Exons: 2
Source: RefSeq, a predicted model, not a curated record
AUGGCGCAGGAAGGGGAAGAUAUCAGAGAUUACAAUUUGACUGAGGAACAGAAGGCAAUCAAGGCCAAGUAUCCGCCAGUCAAUAGGAAGUUCGAGUAUUUGGAUCAUACAACGGAUGUCCAGUUACACGCAUGGGGAGAUACUCUGGAGGAAGCAUUUGAGCAAUGUGCAAUGGCCAUGUUUGGUUACAUGACAGAUACUGGGACUGUGGAACCCCUCUAAACCAUAGAAGUAGAAACUGAAGGAGAUGACUUACAGUCUCUUCUGUUUCACUUUUUGAAUGAGUGGCUUUAUAAGUUCAGUGCUGAUGAAUUCUGCAUACCUCGGGUGGGGAGAAGAAUUUUCAUUGUCCAAGCACCCUCAGGGAACGGAAGUCAAAGCAAUAACAUAUUCAGCAAUGCAAGUCUAUAAUGAGGAGAAGCCAGAAGUUUUUGUGAUCAUUGAUAUUUAAGACACCAGAAAAAAAAGACACUCCUA